AUGGAACAUGACCUGGACAAGGCUCGAAACAUGAAACUAUUGCUUUCAGAGACAGUUAUGAAUUUGAUUGAGUUUCCCUUACUUGACCAAACAAGUUCCAAUUCUGUUAUUUCAACUACACCAAAUGAUCUUUCGAAUUGGUCAAGACUCCAGUUUAUGGCCCCUUCUAUACGGUACCAGUUGUUGUUUCAUUGA
RNAcentral lists this ribosomal RNA (195 nucleotides) under Triticum aestivum (bread wheat). RNAcentral describes it as "partial small subunit ribosomal RNA". Lineage: Eukaryota; Viridiplantae; Streptophyta; Magnoliopsida; Poales; Poaceae. The record is from RNAcentral.